This 2903-nucleotide ribosomal RNA is filed under the name Proteus mirabilis. Its description in RNAcentral is "23S ribosomal RNA". It matches the Rfam family "Bacterial large subunit ribosomal RNA". The record is from RNAcentral. Lineage: Bacteria; Pseudomonadati; Pseudomonadota; Gammaproteobacteria; Enterobacterales; Morganellaceae.
GGUUAAGCGAAUAAGCGUACACGGUGGAUGCCUAGGCAAUCAGAGGCGAUGAAGGACGUGCUAAUCUGCGAAAAGCGUCGGUAAGGUGAUAUGAACCGUUAUACCCGACGAUAUCCGAAUGGGGAAACCCAGUAUCCAAUGGAUACUAUCAUUAACUGAAUCCAUAGGUUAAUGAGGCGAACCGGGAGAACUGAAACAUCUCAGUACCCCGAGGAAAAGAAAUCAACCGAGAUUCCCCUAGUAGCGGCGAGCGAACGGGGAGCAGCCCAGAGUCUUAAUCAAUAGCAGUGUCAGGAGAACGGUCUGGAAAGUCCGGCAGUAAAGGGUGAUAGCCCCGUAUCUGAAGAUGCUGUUAUUGUGAACUCGACGAGUAGGGCGGGACACGUGUUAUCCUGUCUGAAUAUGGGGGGACCAUCCUCCAAGGCUAAAUACUCCUGAUUGACCGAUAGUGAACCAGUACCGUGAGGGAAAGGCGAAAAGAACCCCGGCGAGGGGAGUGAAAAAGAACCUGAAACCGUGUACGUACAAGCAGUAGGAGCCUCUUUAUGGGGUGACUGCGUACCUUUUGUAUAAUGGGUCAGCGACUUAUAUUCUGUAGCAAGGUUAACCGUAUAGGGGAGCCGUAGGGAAACCGAGUCUUAACUGGGCGAAUGAGUUGCAGGGUAUAGACCCGAAACCCGGUGAUCUAUCCAUGGGCAGGUUGAAGGUUGGGUAACACUAACUGGAGGACCGAACCGACUAAUGUUGAAAAAUUAGCGGAUGACUUGUGGAUGGGGGUGAAAGGCCAAUCAAACCGGGAGAUAGCUGGUUCUCCCCGAAAGCUAUUUAGGUAGCGCCUCGUGAACUCAUCUUCGGGGGUAGAGCACUGUUUCGACUAGGGGGUCAUCCCGACUUACCAACUCGAUGCAAACUGCGAAUACCGAAGAAUGUUAUCACGGGAGACACACGGCGGGUGCUAACGUCCGUCGUGAAGAGGGAAACAACCCAGACCGCCAGCUAAGGUCCCAAAGUCAUGGUUAAGUGGGAAACGAAGUGGGAAGGCUCAGACAGCCAGGAUGUUGGCUUAGAAGCAGCCAUCAUUUAAAGAAAGCGUAAUAGCUCACUGGUCGAGUCGGCCCGCGCGGAAGAUGUAACGGGGCUAAACCAUGCACCGAAGCUGCGGCAGCGACACAAAGUGUUGUUGGGUAGGGGAGCGUUCUGUAAGCCUGCGAAGGUGUACUGUGAGGUAUGCUGGAGGUAUCAGAAGUGCGAAUGCUGACAUAAGUAACGAUAAUGCGGGUGAAAAACCCGCACGCCGGAAGACCAAGGGUUCCUGUCCAACGUUAAUCGGGGCAGGGUGAGUCGACCCCUAAGGCGAGGCUGAAAAGCGUAGUCGAUGGGAAACGGGUUAAUAUUCCCGUACUGGUGGUAACUGCGAUGGGGGAACGGAGAAGGCUAGGUUGUCCGGGCGACGGUCGUCCCGGUUCAAGCAGGUAGGCAGAGUGAUUAGGCAAAUCCGGUCACUUAAUGCUGAGAUGUGAUGACGAACCACUAAGGUGGUGAAGCAAUUGAUGCCCCGCUUCCAGGAAAAGCCUCUAAGCUUCAGGUUACCAACAAUCGUACCCCAAACCGACACAGGUGGUCAGGUAGAGAAUACUCAGGCGCUUGAGAGAACUCGGGUGAAGGAACUAGGCAAAAUGGUGCCGUAACUUCGGGAGAAGGCACGCUGGCGGUAGGUAAAGUCCCUCGCGGACGGCGCUGAAGCCAGUCGAAGAUACCAGCUGGCUGCAACUGUUUAUUAAAAACACAGCACUGUGCAAACACGAAAGUGGACGUAUACGGUGUGACGCCUGCCCGGUGCUGGAAGGUUAAUUGAUGGGGUCAGCCGUAAGGCGAAGCUCCUGAUCGAAGCCCCAGUAAACGGCGGCCGUAACUAUAACGGUCCUAAGGUAGCGAAAUUCCUUGUCGGGUAAGUUCCGACCUGCACGAAUGGCGUAAUGAUGGCCAGGCUGUCUCCACCCGAGACUCAGUGAAAUUGAACUCGCUGUGAAGAUGCAGUGUACCCGCGGCAAGACGGAAAGACCCCGUGAACCUUUACUAUAGCUUGACACUGAACAUUGAGCCUUGAUGUGUAGGAUAGGUGGGAGGCUUUGAAGUGUGGACGCCAGUCUGCAUGGAGCCAACCUUGAAAUACCACCCUUUAACGUUUGAUGUUCUAACCUAGGCCCAUAAACUGGGUCGGGGACCGUGUCUGGUGGGUAGUUUGACUGGGGCGGUCUCCUCCUAAAGAGUAACGGAGGAGCACGAAGGUUGGCUAAGCAUGGUCGGACAUCAUGCGGUUAGUGCAAAGGCAUAAGCCAGCUUGACUGCGAGAGUGACGGCUCGAGCAGGUACGAAAGUAGGUCUUAGUGAUCCGGUGGUUCUGAAUGGAAGGGCCAUCGCUCAACGGAUAAAAGGUACUCCGGGGAUAACAGGCUGAUACCGCCCAAGAGUUCAUAUCGACGGCGGUGUUUGGCACCUCGAUGUCGGCUCAUCACAUCCUGGGGCUGAAGUAGGUCCCAAGGGUAUGGCUGUUCGCCAUUUAAAGUGGUACGCGAGCUGGGUUUAGAACGUCGUGAGACAGUUCGGUCCCUAUCUGCCGUGGGCGUUGGAAGAUUGAGAGGGGUUGCUCCUAGUACGAGAGGACCGGAGUGAACGCACCACUGGUGUUCGGGUUGUCAUGCCAAUGGCAUUGCCCGGUAGCUAAGUGCGGAAGAGAUAACCGCUGAAAGCAUCUAAGCGGGAAACUUGCCUCGAGAUGAGUCUUCCCUGUCGCUUUAAGCGACCUAAAGGAACGUUUAAGACUAAGACGUUGAUAGGCUGGGUGUGUAAGCGUAGCGAUACGUUGAGCUAACCAGUACUAAUGAACCGUGAGGCUUAACCUG